GCCCGGCUGGCACAAUUGGCUAGCGCGUGAGACUUUUAUUCAUUAAGAGAUCUCAAGGUUGAGAGUUCGAGCCUCUCGUCGGGCG
Non-coding RNA from Lophium mytilinum, 85 nucleotides. The record is from the annotation of a GenBank genome assembly. NCBI's taxonomy places the organism in Eukaryota, Fungi, Ascomycota, Dothideomycetes, Mytilinidiales, Mytilinidiaceae.